GUAGGUGAACCUGCGGAAGGAUCAUUAACACGUAUCCACGUAUCAACCCCUCUGUGAACCCCUAGAAACAGCAAGGCGUGGUCUUAGUGCGUUGUUCGUUAUGGGUCCUAAUGAUGGGCAAGCUCUUUCGGGCGCUUGCAGGGCUCGAGCAGCGUGUGUUUGACGACCAGCCGAUACUUUUCCAUUGUUGGCCUUUUUUUUACCAUUUUAACCCCUUGUACUCUUUUGUACUGAACCAUUCUUCGAUGCU
RNAcentral lists this unclassified non-coding RNA (250 nucleotides) under plant metagenome. Its description in RNAcentral is "partial contains small subunit ribosomal RNA, internal transcribed spacer 1, and 5.8S ribosomal RNA". The record is from RNAcentral.